AUUGAACGCUGGCGGCAGGCCUAACACAUGCAAGUCGAGCGAGCGGCGGACGGGUGAGUAAUGUAUGGGGACUGCCCGAUAGAGGGGGAUAACUACUGGAAAAGGUGGCUAAUACCGCAUACUGUCGGAUAACCCAUAUGGGAUUAGCUAGUAGGUGGGGUAAAGGCUCCCCAAGCCGACGAUCUCUAGCUGGUUUGAGAGGAUGACCAGCCCAACGGGGACUGAGACACGGCCCAGACUCCUACGGAGGCAGCAGGGGGGAAUAUUGCGCAAUGGGGGCAACCCUGACGCAGCCAGGCCGCGUGUAUGAAGAAGGCCUUCGGGUUGUAAAGUACUGUCAGUCGGGAGGCGUUACCGACAGAAGAAGCACCGGCUAACUCCGUGCCAGCAGCCGCGGUAAUUC
RNAcentral lists this ribosomal RNA (403 nucleotides) under uncultured bacterium. RNAcentral describes it as "partial 16S ribosomal RNA". It matches the Rfam family "Bacterial small subunit ribosomal RNA", at positions 29 to 526 of the family's 1533-position model. The record is from RNAcentral.